AACGAACGCUGGCGGCAUGCCUAACACAUGCAAGUCGAACGAAGGCUUCGGCCUUAGUGGCGCACGGGUGCGUAACGCGUGGGAAUCUGCCCCUCGGUUCGGAAUAACAGUUAGAAAUGACUGCUAAUACCGGAUGAUGACUUCGGUCCAAAGAUUUAUCGCCGAGGGAUGAGCCCGCGUAAGAUUAGGUAGUUGGUGGGGUAAAGGCCUACCAAGCCGACGAUCUUUAGCUGGUCUGAGAGGAUGAUCAGCCACACUGGGACUGAGACACGGCCCAGAAUCCUACGGGAGGCAGCAGUGGGGAAUAUUGGACAAUGGGCGAAAGCCUGAUCCAGAAAUGCCGCGUGAGUGAUGAAGGCCUUAGGGUUGUAAAACUCUUUUCCAAGGGAUGAUAAUGACAGUACCUGGAAAAUAAGCUCCGGCUAACUCCGUGCCAGCCGCCGCCGUAA
Molecule: ribosomal RNA, 449 nt
Filed under: uncultured bacterium
Lineage: Bacteria
Description: partial 16S ribosomal RNA
Rfam family: Bacterial small subunit ribosomal RNA
Source: RNAcentral